Non-coding RNA from Oryzias latipes (Japanese medaka), 862 nucleotides. The record is from RefSeq and is a predicted model, not a curated record. Lineage: Eukaryota; Metazoa; Chordata; Actinopteri; Beloniformes; Adrianichthyidae.
AGCCUCUUACAGAAAGAGUCUGCGCUGCCAGCACCACGCCCAGGCUAACACACACACACACACACACACACACACACACACACACACACCCUCACACACACACACUUAGCAAGCAUUGAUCGCCAAAAACUCUUAUUUUGUACGAACUUUGCAAAAGUUUGGAUGUUUUUUGUUUUUGUGGGUGAAACGCUGACACGCUGCCGAGGUCAAUUCUGGGUUAAGGUCAUGAAAUGGGCGGUAACCACAAGGAGCGAAAGGCGGUGCCUCAGAGAUUGAGUCAUCCUACUUCCAGUUUGAGGGAUUUGAGCAGAAGAUUAGCCUGGCCUGUCUGGACGUUUGCCUCAAUGGAAAAUCGCGUUGGAUCAAAACGUUCUGCCAAAUCAAAGCUUUCGUCGGGAUAAAAGUAGGUCCUUUCCUCCACGGGUGCCGCUGGUUCCAUCCUUGUCUCCUGCUGCUCUGACCAUGCAGUCCUCCUCGCUGUGCUUCGGACCGCUUAUCACAGUGUUCCUUCUCGCUCACCGGCGUUUCGGUGUUACUCCCAAGACGCUCAUCUGGAUUCCCACAGAAGUCAAGAUCCGACUCCCCUGUACCUGCUACCACGUCUUAGUUCCUGGAUUCUGCCCUUAAAUAUUAAAUAUUAAACUACGUCCCCGUGUCUGAGUUUCUUCCGGGUUCCAGCGACUGGGUCUGCCCACUGUCCUCAUGACAAAAUUAUUUGUCAUCGCUAGAAAAAAACUGUAUUUUUUAUUCUUGUUUUUUAUCCAAUCUGUAUAGUCGUUUGCUGUAAAACUCUUUUAAGGAUUAGGUUAAAGAUUAGCAGGAUUUUUAUUUUGUACAUUUAAGAACCACUAUAAUAAGGCCU